CCAAAGCAUUCCCUCCUAACAGAAACUUAGAGUUUUUUCAUUUCAUGGUUCCAUAUUAGGUCCAAGAUGGCAGCAUCUGCAUUUCAGGAUGCAGGAGGAAGGAAGGAUGAAGAAGAAGAAACAACACAUCCUGUGUUACGUCUUAAGGAGCUGGACUGCUCAUUUUUUUGAGGAACCCCUCUGAGAGAGGAACAGUUUGGGCCACUGGACUCCAGGUAAUUUGCUCUUGCUCUUAUUAUUAUAACAAUUGA
This 251-nucleotide long non-coding RNA is filed under the name Mustela putorius furo (domestic ferret). RNAcentral's name for it is "lncRNA (ENSMPUG00000027491.1)". The record is from RNAcentral. Lineage: Eukaryota; Metazoa; Chordata; Mammalia; Carnivora; Mustelidae.